UCCCGCCUGCCCAGUGACUCUUUAAACGGCCGCGGUAUCCUAACCGUGCAAAGGUAGCAUAAUCACUUGUCCCCUAAAUAGGGACUAGAAUGAACGGCUAAAUGAGGACAAAACUGUCUCUUACGGACUAGCCAAUGAAAUUGAUCUUCUAGUACAAAAGCUGGAAUGAGCCCAUAAGACGAGAAGACCCUGUGGAGCUUUAAAGCCACAUCCCACCAAACAUGGCUCCUGGCUUUUUAGUUGGGGCGACUUUGGAGCAAAAAAAACCCUCCAAAACAUAAAUCUGUUUACUAAGAACAACACACCAAAAAUAACUUUAUAGACCCAGCAACAUCUUUGUUGUCUGACCAAUGAACCAAGUUACCCCAGGGAUAACAGCGCCAUCCUCUUCUAGAGUCCUUAUCGACAAGAGGGUUUACGACCUCGAUGUUGGAUCAGGACACCCCCAUAGUGCAGCCGCUAUAAAAGGUUCGUUUGUUCAACGAUUAAAGUCCUACGUGAUCU
This 504-nucleotide ribosomal RNA is filed under the name Podarcis virescens. RNAcentral describes it as "partial 16S ribosomal RNA". It matches the Rfam family "Archaeal large subunit ribosomal RNA", at positions 1945 to 2675 of the family's 2987-position model. The record is from RNAcentral. Lineage: Eukaryota; Metazoa; Chordata; Lepidosauria; Squamata; Lacertidae.